GCCUAGCCCUAAACCUUGGUAAUAUAUCACAUACCCUACCCGCCUGGGAACUACGAGCACCAGCUUAAAACCCAAAGGACUUGGCGGUGCUUUAGACCCCCCUAGAGGAGCCUGUUCUGGAACCGAUAACCCCCGUUCAACCUCACCCUCCCUUGUUUAUCCCGCCUAUAUACCGCCGUCGUCAGCUUACCCUGUGAAGGACUAAAAGUAAGCACAACUGGUACAACCCAAAACGUCAGGUCGAGGUGUAGCGCAUGGGAGGGGAAGAAAUGGGCUACAUUCCCUAUAUUAGGGAACACGAACGGCGCACUGAAACACGCGCCUGAAGGAGGAUUUAGUAGUAAGCGGAAAAUAGCGUGUUCCACUGAAAUCGGCCCUGAAGCGCGC
RNAcentral lists this ribosomal RNA (387 nucleotides) under Sebastes joyneri. RNAcentral describes it as "partial 12S ribosomal RNA". It matches the Rfam family "Bacterial small subunit ribosomal RNA", at positions 794 to 1384 of the family's 1533-position model. The record is from RNAcentral. Lineage: Eukaryota; Metazoa; Chordata; Actinopteri; Perciformes; Sebastidae.